Long non-coding RNA from Onychostoma macrolepis, 563 nucleotides. RefSeq lists it as uncharacterized. The record is from RefSeq and is a predicted model, not a curated record. NCBI's taxonomy places the organism in Eukaryota, Metazoa, Chordata, Actinopteri, Cypriniformes, Cyprinidae. The transcript has 3 exons.
GGGCUAUUGAAGAAAUUGCUGUCCUUGUCAAGAUACAAGGACAAUAGAGAUCUCCAGCCCUGGAUCAAGUGCAUAUGCAACCACCUGUGGUAUUCCUGUUCAAGUUGUGGAGGUGACCCUGAUGACUUGAUCUGGAAAUGGAAGUCAAUACUUCAUCACAUUUGUGGAGAACAUAGCUGGACUCAGGAUGGUAUACAGCACAGAUGUCUACAUAGCGACCUCACUCCUGACCAACAGAGACACAAGAUGUGGCUUAAAAAAGUCUCGUGCGUACCAUACCCUGCAGACACUUGUCUUGGACAAAGGUCUCUUGAAGGACCUGCGCCAGAUGUCCGUGUUUAAGCAUACAGGCACGCUUUAAGUUUUCCAUUCUGUGCUACUCAAGUACUGUCAGAAGAACGUGCAUUUCCAUUAUUCAUCAAUGUUAGCCCGUACGCAACUGGCCAUACUGGACCACAAUGAAAAUGUACUGUACAUCAUAAACAGGCCACAACCAGUGGUGGUAAGUGAACAGCAAUACCACAGCAAAUGUUUCACACUACACAUAAAUCCUAAUUAUGAAA